This 499-nucleotide ribosomal RNA is filed under the name Bacillus sp. (in: firmicutes). Its description in RNAcentral is "bacterial SSU rRNA". It matches the Rfam family "Bacterial small subunit ribosomal RNA", at positions 28 to 508 of the family's 1533-position model. Lineage: Bacteria; Bacillati; Bacillota; Bacilli; Caryophanales; Bacillaceae. The record is from RNAcentral.
GACGAACGCUGGCGGCGUGCCUAAUACAUGCAAGUCGAGCGGACAGAUGGGAGCUUGCUCCCUGAUGUYAGCGGCGGACGGGUGAGUAACACGUGGGUAACCUGCCUGUAAGACUGGGAUAACUCCGGGAAACCGGGGCUAAUACCGGAUGCUUGAUUGAACCGCAUGGUUCAAUUAUAAAAGGUGGCUUUUAGCUACCACUUACAGAUGGACCCGCGGCGCAUUAGCUAGUUGGUGAGGUAACGGCUCACCAAGGCAACGAUGCGUAGCCGACCUGAGAGGGUGAUCGGCCACACUGGGACUGAGACACGGCCCAGACUCCUACGGGAGGCAGCAGUAGGGAAUCUUCCGCAAUGGACGAAAGUCUGACGGAGCAACGCCGCGUGAGUGAUGAAGGUUUUCGGAUCGUAAAACUCUGUUGUUAGGGAAGAACAAGUACCGUUCGAAUAGGGCGGUACCUUGACGGUACCUAACCAGAAAGCCACGGCUAACUACKUGC